GUCUACGGCCAUACUACCCUGAACGCGCCCGAUCUCGUCAGAUCUCGAAAGCAAAGCAGGGUCUCUGGCCUGGUUAGUACUUGGAUGGGAGAAC
RNAcentral lists this ribosomal RNA (94 nucleotides) under Saimiri boliviensis boliviensis (Bolivian squirrel monkey). The record is from RNAcentral. Lineage: Eukaryota; Metazoa; Chordata; Mammalia; Primates; Cebidae.